This 65-nucleotide transfer RNA is filed under the name Dipodomys ordii (Ord's kangaroo rat). It matches the Rfam family "tRNA". Rfam says of the family: Transfer RNA (tRNA) molecules are approximately 80 nucleotides in length. Their secondary structure includes four short double-helical elements and three loops (D, anti-codon, and T loops). The record is from Rfam by way of RNAcentral. Lineage: Eukaryota; Metazoa; Chordata; Mammalia; Rodentia; Heteromyidae.
GGUGGCUUAGUGGUAGAGUACUUGCCUUGCAUGCAUGAGGCCCUGGGUUUGAUUCCUCAGCACCA